This 520-nucleotide ribosomal RNA is filed under the name uncultured Glomus. RNAcentral's name for it is "SSU rRNA". It matches the Rfam family "Eukaryotic small subunit ribosomal RNA", at positions 569 to 1091 of the family's 1831-position model. Lineage: Eukaryota; Fungi; Glomeromycota; Glomeromycetes; Glomerales; Glomeraceae. The record is from RNAcentral.
CGCAGCCGCGGUAAUUCCAGCUCCAAUAGCGUAUAUUAAAGUUGUUGCAGUUAAAAAGCUCGUAGUUGAAUUUCGGGAUCAAUUUGCUGGUCGUGCCUCCGGUACGUACUGGUAUUUAUUGGUUUCUCCCUUCUGACUAACCAUGAUGUCAUUCAUUUGGUGUUGUGGGGAAUCAGGACUGUUACUUUGAAAAAUUAGAGUGUUUAAAGCAGGCAUAAGCUUGAAUACAUUAGCAUGGAAUAAUGAAAUAGGACGUUUGAUCCUAUUUUGUUGGUUUCUAGGAUCGACGUAAUGAUUAAUAGGGAUAGUUGGGGGCAUUAGUAUUCAAUUGUCAGAGGUGAAAUUCUUGGAUUUAUUGAAGACUAACUACUGCGAAAGCAUUUGCCAAGGAUGUUUUCAUUAAUCAAGAACGAAAGUUAGGGGACCGAAGACGAUCAGAUACCGUCGUAGUCUUAACCAUAAACUAUGCCGACUAGGGAUCGGAUGAUGUUAAUUUUUAAUGACUCAUUCGGCGCCUUAC